RNAcentral lists this long non-coding RNA (4489 nucleotides) under Sus scrofa (pig). RNAcentral describes it as "lncRNA (ENSSSCG00045013323.1)". Lineage: Eukaryota; Metazoa; Chordata; Mammalia; Artiodactyla; Suidae. The record is from RNAcentral.
AUGAUGGGAAUGUGGUGCAAAUCAGAAUAUAUACCUCCGAUGAAAAAAAAAAGAUACUGGAAAGAAACAUCCCUCCCAAAAAGGACAAGAUUUGAAGCACUCCUUCUGAAACACUUCCGGUUGGACAAGAAACAGUUCUUGGCCGUGCACCAAUCAGAGGCUCAGCCAGGAAAACUGUGCUUCAAAGUACUGGGAGGGAGGAAGCGCUCCCGGAAGAGACCGCCACUGCUGCCGGCCAGCCAGAACGUCCGGCUCAUCAAAGCCAGAGGCACUGCCACGGACAGUUGGGCCAUGGACUGCUGGGCGAAAAUAGCAGAAAUAGUGGUUGCAGUUUUGUUCCCUGAGCUCACUGUGCAACAAGGAAGGUGCAAGUGCCAAGCGACCAGACUGCAUCGAGAAGCUCAAGGGGAAAGAGACCACGCUUUGACAACCAUCUCUGAACUGAGGUCUUAAUGCGUUUUUAUUCCAUGUAAGGGGUAGGUUUUGUAGCCGAGGAUCUUUGCCUGGGGCAAGAGCCCAACAGGCUCAGGCUGCAAUCAAGGGCUCCUUGGCGCCAAAGACGGACCAGCAGCGGCCACAGCAGCUCAAGGCGCGCAGGGUGCGACCGAUCCACUCGAAGCAGCCAGAGACGAGCCCGUCGCGGCUCCACCGAGAGGGGGCAGGAGGAGACCGGUCCUCUGAAGGGGGCCCGCUGUCAGGGGUCUCGACGUCCUGCUGUCUGUCGCGGGGCCCAGUCGGUCUGGCCAACGCCAGCUGCUGAAGCAGGCGCCCGUCGGGUUCCGGUGCCGGGUCCCUCUCUCCUCCCGGUGCCAGUUGGGCUGGGCUUGGUUCCAAGGUGCUCGGGGCUCUGGGACCGAGUCGGUCUCCCACGAAGGGAAAAUGUAGGCGCCAGCAAGGACUGGAAAGCAAUUUGCAACCGAAAUCAUCGUGGUCGCCUGAGAACUCAUCCAGUACCGGGUAGAAAGGGAGCGGCCACGGCCCAGACUCUGCUAAGCACUCGCUGGGUGGAGGCUGGACCUCUGGCGCCACGUCUGCGGAGUUCCAGUCCUCCUUCACGCGGCCGAGAAAACGCUGCUCCAUCGCAGGGGACCUCGGGCCAGCAGCAGGCUGAGGGAGCUUUUGGACUGAUUGAGGAAUCAGCCUGCUGCAGGGCCAGGGGCCUGGGUAUUUAUGCACUCCUCGGCUUGUGGGCGGAGGCAAGCCAGACCUCAGGAAAACCGGGUUGUAGGAAACUCAAAAAUAACGACAACAUACACAGAAAGGAAUAGAAGUAAAUCGUAAGGCGCAUAGUAACCCGAGAUAAAUGGUUACGGUGAAAAAUAGUAACUUAGGUUUUUCUAAAAAAGAAAGGAAACCAAGAAAUCUAUAGCAAACAGGACCGAAUAAAAUAAUAACAUCCUAUAGCAAACCGAAAUAAAUCGUUCUCAUAAUAAUAAUAAGAAGAAACGUGAUGGGGAAAACAAGACAGUGAACCAAAACAUUCAUCUGAUUGAAAAAUACAAUGGGAGGGGAAAAACUGUAAAUCGAAAGAAAUCAUUCUAAUGAAAAUUUAAAAACGGGUAGAAAAUAAGAGUGCAAAUCGGUUCAAAUCGAAAUACAGCAUUCUGAUGAAAAGUUGUAAUGGGAGGAAAACAAAGACAGUGAACCAAAAUAAGUGGUUCUGAUGAAAAAUUGUAAACUGAGCAGAAAAAGAAAAAAGACGAAAGCACGGCAAAUUGGAUUAAAUCGUUCUAAUGAAAAACUGUAAAUGGAGAGGGGAAGCAGAGCAAAUGGAAAUAAAUCGUUUUGAUGAAAAGUCGUAAUAAGGAGUUCCCGUCGUCGUAGCGCAGCGGAAAAGAAUCUUGACUAGAAACCACGAGGUUUCAGUUCAAUCCCUGGCCUCAUUCAGUGGGUUAAGGAUCUGGCAUUGCCAUGAGCUGUGGUGUAGGUCUCAGACGCGGCUGGGAUCGCAUAGGCCGGCAGCUCCGAUUCGACCCCUAGCCUUGGAACCUCCAUAUGAGGACGGUGAGGCCCUAAAAAGCAAAAAACAAAAACAAAAACAAAUUGUGAAAGUGGGAAAGCGGUGUAAAUGGAACUAUACAUGGUUCUGAUGAUAAAAAUUACUGGGAAAAAACAAACAUUAGAAAAGACUGUGAACCAAAACAAAAAGUUCUAUUGAAAAAUUGUAAAUAGGAAAAAGAGAAAAUAGAAAUAAAUUGUACUGAUGAAAAAUCAUAAAGACAGGGAAAGAAACAAAAAAGGGGCACACAGACAUGAAAUUAAUCUUUCUAAUGAGAAAUGUUAACAUGGGGGGAAACUGGCCCAAAUUCAAAUGUAGCCUUCUGGUGAAACAACAUACUGGGAAUGAAACAAACUAAAAAAAGGCACAAAAAACCUGAAAUAUAUUGUUCUAAUAAAAAUUUGUUAAUGGGGGAAAUGGUGCAAAUCAAAAUAUAUCAUUGUGAUGAAAAAACAUGAGAGAAAAACAGAACAAAAAAUGUAAAAAGACUAAAUUAAAAAAUCAUUCUAAUGAAAAAUUGUAAAUGGGAAAAAAGCAGUACAAUUCAAAAUAUAUUGUUGUAAUGAAAAAAUGUAAUGAGAGAAAAACAAACCAAAGAAAUGAAAGUUAACCAAAACAAAUCAUUCUAAUAAAAAAAUUGUGCUAAUGAAAAAUUGUAAGGGGGGGCGAAGCAGACCAAGGUGGAAAAAAAAAUCACUCUGUUGAAAAUUCAUAACCAGAAGACAACAAACCAAAGAAAAGGGAAUUAUAAGGAAACUGGGCUGAAAACUAGCCCUAUAAAUCAUUGGGAACUGUUGCACCCCUGCUGAGACCCCACCCCCCACCCCUCAAUCCCCUGGAAAGUAACUAAGCAGCCACUGGCCCUUUGGGCUCUGUGCUGCCAGCCACAUGGACCAUGAGAAACUCGGAAAUGAGCAGUGAUUGCAGGCAGCACAGUGGCUCCAUAGCCAAAUACAAAAUAUCUGUUUGGGAGCGACUCAUGGUGCUGCCAGGAGAAAAUGAUGGCUUUCAGAAAGGGUCUGCAACAAAAACCAUCUCCCUGAGGAGCAAUAGCCCCUGAUACCUUAGAGCAAAACACUGUCUUGGUGUGAAAAUAAUUUAUUUUCUAUUUUCGUUUUUUUAUUUUCUAAUUUAAAAUUGUUAAAUUUCAUUAUUUUUCCAUUUUAUUUAUUGUACUCUUAUAUUUUACCUGCCUUGAUACGCAAUGAAUUUGUCAUUCAAUACGCUUUCCUUAUGUAACUUUAGGGGUUGAAAUUUUAACUUUAUUAAAAUAAUGAAAAUCCCUUGGAAUCACAUUAUCCAGCGUGUGGAGAUCCCAUCAUGGCUCAGUGGAAAUGAAUCUGACAAGUAUCCAGGAGGAUGCAGGUUCGAUCCCUGGCCUAGCUCAGUGGGUUAAAGGAUCUGGCUGUGGUGUAGGUCACAGACCAGGCUCAGGUCCCACGUCGCUGUGGCUGUGGUGUAGGCCAUUGGCUACAGCUGUGAUUCGAUCCCUAGUCUGGGAAGUUCCAUAUGCCAUGGGUACAGCCCUAAAAAGACAAAACAAAAACAAAAACAAAAACCAGACUUACUGGAGUUCCCACUGUGGCACAGCGGAAACGAAUCCAACUAGUAACCAUGAGGUUUCAGGUUCAAUCCCUUGCCAAACUCAGUGGGUUAAGGAUCUGACGUUGCCGGGAGCUGUCGCCGCAGGGGUGGCUCAGAUCCCCUCAUUGCUGUGGCUGUGGUGUAGGCUGACAGCUGUAGUUCCUAUUCGACCCCUAGCCUAGGAACCUCCAUAAGCCGCGGGUGAGGCCCUAAAAAGCAAAAAAUAAAAAACAAAAAACUCUCCAGUGUGCACACGCCCACGGUAAUUACCAAUUGUUUCUAUGGUUAAAAACGUCCUUAAUUUCACUUUAAACCCACUGUGUAUCAUGAUGCUUCUAACUAGAUUUGAGAUUGACCAGUUUCAACAGAAAAAGCCCCCAUCUAAUGCUACUACCGGCGUUGCGAAGGGAAAUAGAGGCUCAGAGAUAAUUUCAUUGUCCUAAUCUAAGGGUGUCAGGCACACACCAUCUGAGCGAGAGAUUCCAGAGAGCUACGGCUAAGGGGAGAGGUCGGGUCCGCCAAGGGAUGACUGGCUCUGGAGCUUCGACCCGCGCCAAAACCCGCUUGGACUUGCUGUUCUGAAAACGGAAUUGACUACGACUUAAAAAUCGCAGGGUAGACUAAAUCCCGUCUUGCCACCCUAAAAUAUCGCUCCAGCGGGCCUUGCUCUGACUAAGAAAUCUCCCACUCCAUAGGACUGAGAAUCACCGAGAAACGGCCUGUUUGGGGAGACUGAAAAAGAUGCGGCCGUCGAGAAAACCACUCCAAGCAAAUGCAGUCUGAGACAAAAAUACCUCGGCCUCAGCACAGCCAGAGAAAGUGCAAAAGCGAACAGGCUCCGUGCCAGCCCUGGGGCUGCGGCUAGAGAUUAUACGGGUGGAGGAUGAGACGGUGCUGGGACCCAGG